GACCUGCGGAGGGAUCAUUACCGAGUUUACAACUCCCAAACCCCUGUGAACAUACCUAUACGUUGCCUCGGCGGAUCAGCCCGCGCCCCGUAAAAAGGGACGGCCCGCCCGAGGACCCCUAAACUCUGUUUUUAGUGGAACUUCUGAGUAAAACAAACAAAUAAAUCAAAACUUUCAACAACGGAUCUCUUGGUUCUGGCAUCGAUGAAGAACGCAGCAAAAUGCGAUAAGUAAUGUGAAUUGCAGAAUUCAGUGAAUCAUCGAAUCUUUGAACGCACAUUGCGCCCGCCAGUAUUCUGGCGGGCAUGCCUGUUCGAGCGUCAUUUCAACCCUCAAGCUCAGCUUGGUGUUGGGACUCGCGGUAACCCGCGUUCCCCAAAUCGAUUGGCGGUCACGUCGAGCUUCCAUAGCGUAGUAAUCAUACACCUCGUUACUGGUAAUCGUCGCGGCCACGCCGUAAAACCCCAACUUCUGAAUGUUGACCUCGGAUCAGGUAGAUGCCCAGUG
Molecule: ribosomal RNA, 507 nt
Filed under: Fusarium equiseti
Lineage: Eukaryota; Fungi; Ascomycota; Sordariomycetes; Hypocreales; Nectriaceae
Description: eukaryotic LSU rRNA
Rfam family: 5.8S ribosomal RNA (bases 170-323)
Source: RNAcentral